CACACUCAUGAGGCUGGGCUGGC
RNAcentral lists this non-coding RNA (23 nucleotides) under Rattus norvegicus (Norway rat). Lineage: Eukaryota; Metazoa; Chordata; Mammalia; Rodentia; Muridae. The record is from RNAcentral.